CGGGACACGAAACAAGGUGCUGCAUGGUUGUCGUCAGCUCGUGCCGUGAGGUGUUGGGUUAAGUCCCGCAACGAGCGCAACCCUUAUCACUAGUUGCCAGCAUUUAAGGUGGGGACUCUAGUGAGACUGCCGGCGUAAGCCGUGAGGAAGGUGGGGACGACGUCAAAUCAUCAUGGCCUUUAUGCCUAGGGCUACACACGUGCUACAAUGGCGAGUACAGAGGGUAGCGAAGCCGCAAGGUGGAGCCAAUCUCAUAAAACUCGUCCCAGUUCGGAUUGAAGUCUGCAACUCGACUUCAUGAAGGUGGAAUCGCUAGUAAUCGCGCAUCAGCCAUGGCGCGGUGAAUACGUUCCCGGACCUUGUACACACCGCCC
RNAcentral lists this ribosomal RNA (374 nucleotides) under uncultured Bacteroidota bacterium. RNAcentral's name for it is "bacterial SSU rRNA". It matches the Rfam family "Bacterial small subunit ribosomal RNA", at positions 1022 to 1395 of the family's 1533-position model. The record is from RNAcentral. Lineage: Bacteria; Pseudomonadati; Bacteroidota.